UAAGGAAUAUUGGUCAAUGGACGCAAGUCUGAACCAGCCAUGCCGCGUGAAGGAUGAAGGUCCUCUGGAUUGUAAACUUCUUUUAUCUGGGACGAAAACGGGAUUUUUAUCUCAAUUGACGGUACCAGAGGAAUAAGCACCGGCUAACUCCGUGCCAGCAGCCGCGGUAAUACGGAGGGUGCGAGCGUUAUCCGGAUUUACUGGGUUGAAAGGGUGCGUAGGUGGGCUUAUAAGUCAGUGGUGAAAUCUCCGAGCUUAACUUGGAAACUGCCGUUGAUACUAUGGGUCUUGAAUUAUCUGGGGGUAAGCGGAAUAUGUCAUGUAGCGGUGAAAUGCUUAGAUAUGACAUAGAACACCAAUUACGAAGGCAGCUUACUACAUAUAAAUUGACGCUGAGGCACGAAAGCGUGGGGAUCAAAC
RNAcentral lists this ribosomal RNA (420 nucleotides) under uncultured bacterium. RNAcentral describes it as "bacterial SSU rRNA". It matches the Rfam family "Bacterial small subunit ribosomal RNA", at positions 355 to 773 of the family's 1533-position model. The record is from RNAcentral.